CCUUCAUGAUUCACGCUGGAAAAGAAAGCACUUCCCUGUCCUCAGAUGAACUCUCGCCGCGCUCUGGAGGAGGGGACGGACGCGCGCGCGCGCGCACAAGCAGAACUGGGUCAACUGCAGACGAGUCAAAAGAAGCGAGAGAGUGUCGUGUUGAGCUGACAGCACAGCUGUGUUUCCAGUGGAUCACAGACAGACAGGUGAUGUGUCCUGUCUGGCUCUUUGGCUGCGCACCAAGUAAUGUGAUCAAUCAGAGUUUCUCCUUUAAUCACACCGGUCAUCCCAGUAUAGAUGCAACAUCUGGAUUUCAUCGCCGCUGGAGUGAUGAUAAACACUCUCACAGCUGAUCCAAAACCCACAUCGCACGGAUGGAGUCAGUAGACAUCAGACAGAAGCUCAGAUGAAGCUAUACGUAGAUCCUACUCACUGGAUUAUUGGUAGGCUAUUAGUUGUGUGCUUGUGUGUGUUUGGUAUCUAAUAUACUGCAGAUAAACGGCCUGACAACUGCAUUUUCUCAUUCACAGCCUGCUGUUUCAAUUAUGUGCACAAGAACGUGAUAAUAGAAAAAACAAGAACAAUGUAACUUUGAGCUCCGGCGACGUCUGCUGGCAGCUCUGGGUACUGCAUCGUUCCAGUGCGGCUUUAUUUUGUUACUCAAACAAGCUUGCUUUCCCACAUUAACUUCCAAAACAUUCUUGUAAUAAAACAUAGUAUAUUUCUUUGAAAAAGUGAAGA
Molecule: long non-coding RNA, 732 nt
Organism: Cyprinus carpio (common carp)
Lineage: Eukaryota; Metazoa; Chordata; Actinopteri; Cypriniformes; Cyprinidae
Source: Ensembl